This 484-nucleotide ribosomal RNA is filed under the name uncultured bacterium. RNAcentral's name for it is "partial 16S ribosomal RNA". It matches the Rfam family "Bacterial small subunit ribosomal RNA", at positions 28 to 507 of the family's 1533-position model. The record is from RNAcentral.
GAUUAACGCUAGCGGCAGGCAUAAUACAUGCAAGUUGAACGGCAGCACAGGUAGCAAUACUGGGUGGCGAGUGGCGCACGGGUGCGUAACACGUAUGCAACCUACCCUAUACAGGCGAAUAACCUUUAGAAAUGAGGGCUAAUACGCCGUAGUAUUACAGGUGGGCAUCUAUUUGUAAUUAAAGAUUUAUCGGUAUAGGAUGGGCAUGCGUCCCAUUAGUUAGUUGGUAAGGUAACGGCUUACCAAGACGAUGAUGGGUAGGGGAUCUGAGAGGACUUACCCCCACACUGGUACUGAGACACGGACCAGACUCCUACGGGAGGCAGCAGUAAGGAAUAUUGGGCAAUGGCCGCGAGGCUGACCCAGCCAUGCCGCGUGCAGGAAGACGGCCUUAUGGGUUGUAAACUGCUUUUAUACGGGAAUAAUAGAGUGUACGCGUACAUUUAUGCAAGUAUCGUAUGAAUAAGCAUCGGCUAACUCCGUG